UCCCCCCCCACCAGAAAUCACUUCUGAAAUUUUAAUCCUUUUAUCAAAAUGUAAAGGAAAAACAAGGAAAUAACAGUUAAUUAUAAUUUCCAUAUAAAGCGUAACCUUACUGAAGAUCAAGGUUAUACAAAACCAUAAUGAUGUUUUUCGAAUGUAUUGGGACUUUGUGCUAUUAUUGGGGUUAAAGUGCACAGUUGGGCGGCAUUAGCAAAAACGGUCACCCACAAAAUAUGUUAAGCGCCGAAUUGCUCAAGUUUUAUUAUGGCUUUCUCUAUUUCUUAUUCUCGCCUAUUCAAUUUUUUUUUUCAUCCUACGGCCAGAAAGACUUAAAAGCGUAGCAGCGGCGUUAUUUAAGUUGCAUGUCUUUGCGAAAUAAGGAGUGCGGAGUAUAACACAAAAAGCUACCAUAAGGCCUUUAAUCUUCUUACAUCUGCAACUCAGGAAGUAGAACAUUUAAUGCCAUCAGAAGAAUUCCUUGAACUAAUGGCAUAAUUCCUUUUGUGGAGCAUAAAAAAAAAAAAAAAAAAAAAAAAAAGAGAGUUUUUUAAGAUUUAAAGUUGUGAAUCAAAAUUGGGUGAAGUAUUUGUCAAGCUUCAGAUUACCACUUACCAUCUUUCAUCUCAGUAUCCAAGAUUCCUGAGUUUUAUCGCGAUGGCAUAGCAGAGCUAGUCACUCGUUGGCAGAAGGCACUGGAUGCCAAUGAUUAGUUGGUGAUUAAUUUGAAGAUUAGCAGGGAUUAUUUUUUGUUUUAUGACCUUUUUCUUUCUGGUUGUCCAAAACGACAAGAACUUUUUUGGUUACCUUGUAGUUUAUAGAAUGAAAUUUGAAAUUGCAAUGCUAGUUUAAAACUGAUUUUUUCAAAUCUUUCUGAUGGUAAAUUAUAUUUACUCAAAGGAAACAUUAAAAAUUGGUACUAAUGUGUAAAAGGCCUUUGUAGAUGUUAAAUUGCUUGUUUUUAUUAAGAAUUUCAUUUAUGCUAUUACCCGAUGUAUAUCCAGUUCUACACUGCUGGCCACCGUAAAUGCAACACCCUGAAGGAAGCAUGUAAAUAACAUGAAAUUUACAACAUGCAUUAGCAGAGGUGAGAUAUGCAAAUGAUUAGAAUUUUAGCACAGAUGCACAUCACAUGCGCCUGUGGCGCCACUUCAAAGUGCUAUUUAAGGCUUGGAGUUUUCGACGAUUUCAAGUUUGGCAAUUGUGUUUUUCUUGUGGUUUAAAAAAAAAAAAAAAAAAAACGAUCAAUUAUGCUUUGU
This is a long non-coding RNA of Stegodyphus dumicola, 1253 nucleotides long. The record is from RefSeq and is a predicted model, not a curated record. NCBI's taxonomy places the organism in Eukaryota, Metazoa, Arthropoda, Arachnida, Araneae, Eresidae.